ACGAGGUAGCAAUACUUAGUGGCAGACGGGUGAGUAACAUGUGGGUAUCUGCCCUUUGGCCUGGAAUAACACGAGGAAACUUGUGCUAAUACCGGAUAAGUCUUUACGGAGAAAGCUUUAUGCACCAUUGGAUGAGCCCGCACUUGAUUAGUUAGUUGGUAGGGUAAUGGCCUACCAAGACUGUGAUCAAUAGCUGAUUUGAGAGGAUGAUCAGCCACAUUGGGACUGAGACACGGCCCAAACUCCUACGGGAGGCAGCAGUGGGGAAUCUUGCACAAUGGAGGAAACUCUGAUGCAGCGAUGCCGCGUGAGUGAAGAAGGCCCUUGGGUUGUAAAGCUCUUUCGUCGGGGAAGAAAAUGACUGUACCCGAAUAAGAAGGUCCGGCUAACUUCGUGCCAGCAGCCGCGGUAAUACGAAGGGACCUAGCGUAGUUCGGAAUUACUGGGCUUAAAGAGUUCGUAGGUGGUUGAAAAAGUUGGUGGUGAAAUCCCAGAGCUUAACUCUGGAACUGCCAUCAAAACUUUUCAGCUAGAGUAUGAUAGAGGAAAGCAGAAUUUCUAGUGUAGAGGUGAAAUUCGUAGAUAUUAGAAAGAAUACCGAUUGCGAAGGCAGCUUUCUGGAUCAUUACUGACACUGAGGAACGAAAGCAUGGGUAGCGAAGAGGAUUAGAUACCCUCGUAGUCCAUGCCGUANACGAUGUGUGUUAGACGUUGGAAAUUUAUUUUCAGUGUCGCAGCGAAAGCGAUAAACACACCGCCUGGGGAGUACGACCGCGAGGUUAAAACUCAAAUGAAUUGACGGGGACCCGCACAAGUAGUGGAGCAU
RNAcentral lists this ribosomal RNA (826 nucleotides) under uncultured Alphaproteobacteria bacterium. RNAcentral describes it as "bacterial SSU rRNA". It matches the Rfam family "Bacterial small subunit ribosomal RNA", at positions 66 to 940 of the family's 1533-position model. Lineage: Bacteria; Pseudomonadati; Pseudomonadota; Alphaproteobacteria. The record is from RNAcentral.